This 253-nucleotide ribosomal RNA is filed under the name uncultured bacterium. RNAcentral's name for it is "partial 16S ribosomal RNA". It matches the Rfam family "Bacterial small subunit ribosomal RNA", at positions 524 to 776 of the family's 1533-position model. The record is from RNAcentral.
UACGUAGGUGGCAAGCGUUGUCCGGAUUUACUGGGCGUAAAGAGCGCGCAGGCGGUCGUUCAAGUCGAGUGUGAAAGCCCCCGGCUCAACUGGGGAGGGUCACUCGAUACUGAUCGACUCGAAGGCAGAAGAGGGAAGCGGAAUUCCCGGUGUAGUGGUGAAAUGCGCAGAUAUCGGGAAGAACACCCGUGGCGAAGGCGGCUCUCUGGGACGGUACUGACGCUGAGACGCGAAAGCGUGGGGAGCGAACAGG